RNAcentral lists this transfer RNA (77 nucleotides) under Veillonella sp. oral taxon 780 str. F0422. RNAcentral describes it as "tRNA-Ile". It matches the Rfam family "tRNA". Rfam says of the family: Transfer RNA (tRNA) molecules are approximately 80 nucleotides in length. Their secondary structure includes four short double-helical elements and three loops (D, anti-codon, and T loops). The record is from RNAcentral. Lineage: Bacteria; Bacillati; Bacillota; Negativicutes; Veillonellales; Veillonellaceae.
AGGCCUAUAGCUCAGCUGGUUAGAGCGCACGCCUGAUAAGCGUGAGGUCGGUGGUUCAAGUCCACUUAGGCCUACCA